AAGUUUGAUUCUAUAUGGGUGAUUGUUGAUAGGCUUACCAAAUCCGCACAUUUCCUACCAGUUAGGACCACUUACACAGUUGAAGAGUAUGCGAAGUUGUACAUUAAAGAGAUAGUCCGAUUACAUGGAGUGCCAAUUUCUAUUAUAUCAGAUCGGGGAACCCAAUUACCGCAAACUUUUGGAAGUCUUUUCAGAGGUGUUU
Molecule: long non-coding RNA, 202 nt
Filed under: Capsicum annuum
Lineage: Eukaryota; Viridiplantae; Streptophyta; Magnoliopsida; Solanales; Solanaceae
Description: long non-coding RNA (CANN_LNC007965)
Source: RNAcentral